GGUUCCGUAGUGUAGUGGAUAUCACGUUCGCUUCACACGCGAAAGGUCACCGGUUCGAUCCCGGACGUUACCA
RNAcentral lists this transfer RNA (73 nucleotides) under Trichonephila clavata. It matches the Rfam family "tRNA". From Rfam's summary of the family: Transfer RNA (tRNA) molecules are approximately 80 nucleotides in length. Their secondary structure includes four short double-helical elements and three loops (D, anti-codon, and T loops). Lineage: Eukaryota; Metazoa; Arthropoda; Arachnida; Araneae; Nephilidae. The record is from Rfam by way of RNAcentral.